CAAUUUGGGGAAAAUGUCUUACUGAUUUCUUUUCAGUAAGACAUUUUCCAUCUCCUUCAUCCUGAUAAAAUUUCUCUCAUUCUUCUGUUCUUCAACUUCUUAUAUUUCUUCCAUUUUUCCUUAGUUCGUCGCACAUGCUCUUCUCAGGCAAUACACGCUGCUAUUUCGUCUUUCUCAGGCAAAGCUCUUUUUUAGGCAAGGAAGAACCUUAUUGGGUUUGCUUCUUUAGGCAAGGAAGAACCUUUCUAUGAAAUCCAUUGAUUACCCAUGUGGAGAAGAGUUUGAAAUUGAGACAGUUGAGGAUAAAAAAUCUGACUUGCAAAACAGACUCAGAGAAGAGAUUGAAGGUAAUACCAAACUCAAAGCCAGUGUGGAAAAACGAAAGAAGACAUUGCAAGGGCGUCAACUAUGUCUUGAGAAAGAAGCACAUUUGUAAUGUAGCAAUAUUAAAGGAAGAGUUGCAAAGAGAGAGAGAUAAGAGGACAGCUCUGGAAUCCAUUCUUAACUCAUCUCAAGAACAACCCACAGUUAUCCUAGCUAAGAUUGAUGAAAAGACAAAGGCAGAUCUCAAUGACAUAGCUCUAGCAGAGGCAGAUAUAAUUAAUUUGAAAAAGAAGGUUGAAGAUCUGGAGGUGUAGCUUAAUCAACAACUUGAGAAAAAAUCUGCUUCCAUGAAUGAUUCAUGCAGUCAACGUCAACCAAAUCAUCAUGCAAAAAAAGGAUAAGCCAAAGGGUACUGGAGCUAUUGUUAAAGAGUCAGCAAGCAAGUUGUUGCUUAUGGAUGUAUGAAGAUUCUUGAUGCACUCACCUCAAGAGAAAUUGUGAUUGUGAAAGUUGAUGUGGAAAGUUGAAGAAAAAAUUGGACAGGCUCCGAGGGAUGUGAUCAGUUAUAUGGUUGAAUUUAUUUUAAAAGAAAAAUCGAAGCCCUUCGUUUCAACUUUGUCACUGAUCAGUAUGAGCUGCAGUUUUUUGUUAUGAUGUGGAUAUUGAGUGUUGGGUUUAAAUGAUUGCUUGAUCUUAGCUUGGACUCACACUAACUUAAACUCAACUGUUAGUAUUUAAGGUGAUUUUUUUCUUUAAUUUUUCUUUCAUUUGUUUUCUUGAUCGUAGUUAACCCUUGAAGAAAUUAUUGCUGAAUAAACAAGAUUGGUUUUAUUCUAAAGCAAAAAUAUAAAAGCAAUACUUUUCUUAGCCUUUAUUUACUUCUGUUAGGAUUGAGCUCUGAUUAGAGAUUUUGUUUUGGGUUUAAUUGUUGAUUCAUCUUUUUUCUAUUAUUUCUUCUUCUUCUUUAUUUACUUUAUUAGGAUUGAACUCUGAUUAGAGAUUUUGUUUUGGGUUUAAUUAUUCAUCUUUUUUCUAUUAUUUCCUGGCAGCUCCUUUGUUAGUUAAUCUUGUUUCCAUGUUAGUUUAUUGUACGUUUUAGAAAGAUCAGAAAUCAAGGAGCUGGGGUUGUGUUAUUUAAUCAAGAAUUGAGAAGAGAGGCUAGAAAAUAAUAGAAGAAAAGAAGGGUAUAUGAGUGUGUUCAUGUACAGUAUCUGAUAAUAACUCCUUAGCUACCAGCUGAAAGUAAUGGCCAAUAAGAAAUUAAGACUUGGCCAAUAUAUGAUCUAUGUGGUUACAAAAGGGAAUUUAAGCUAACUUUCAUCUCAGCAGGUUGCUAUGCCUGAUUCUCUCUCCCUUUAGCUCCUUUUUGUCAAUUUCCUUCUUGUUCUAGGCUGUAUUGCCUAUAACCUCGGAACCGGCAAUGGUACAUCUGUGCUUGAAAUGGUUGCUGCUUUUGAGAAAGCUUCUGGAAAGAAAAUCCCCAUUAAACUAUGCCUUAGAAGGCCAAGAGAUGCUACAACUGUUUAUGCUUCCACUAAAAACGCUCAAAAAGAACUUGGUUGGAAAGCAAAAUAUGGUAUAGCAGAGAUGUGCAGAGAUCAGUGGAAGUGGGCAAGCAACAAUCCAUGGGGAUACCAGUCAAAACCUUAGGCUUCAACUAAAUACUAAUUUUCUUCCCCAGUCUUUUAAAAAUGUCUCAUAGGGAGAAUUAAGUGUACAAAUACUUGUUUAAUUUAAACAAAACUGAUCUUUGAUGAUCAAAAGGUAGGAUUUAUCAAAUGUUCAAAUAUCUUAUAAAAUUCCUUUGAGUUACAUUUAUAA
This is a long non-coding RNA of Gossypium arboreum, 2145 nucleotides long. RefSeq lists it as uncharacterized. The transcript is spliced from 10 exons. NCBI's taxonomy places the organism in Eukaryota, Viridiplantae, Streptophyta, Magnoliopsida, Malvales, Malvaceae. The record is from RefSeq and is a predicted model, not a curated record.